GUUCGCGCCCAGCCCAGCCGCUCCCCCCCCCCGCAGCCUCGGUCCCCCCGAGCCGGUGUGAGCCGCUGGACCCCUGCGGUGUGAGGGCAGAGACCGUCGGGGCGCGCUGGGGUCGGUGCCGGGCUGUAGCCCAAGUCAAGGUGGAAUAAUGACUGUUGCCUGCUAAUAGGUUUGGCCGCAGGAGCUUUCGUGCGUUAAUUAAAUAUUUCUUUUCAAGGCAUCUCUCUGAACUGGGGCGGUGAAUAUGCGGUAGCCUGGGGUGAAUUCAGCCGGUGGGGCCGUUGGAGCGUCUCUCGCCUGGACCCCGCGAGGCCUGCGGUGAUGGAGGCGCUGCCUGAGCUCUACGCCAUCUUCCAGGGAGAGGUUGCUACAGUGACAGAAUACGGGGCAUUUAUAAAAAUCCCAGGCUGCAGGAAACAAGGCCUUGUCCAUAAGACUCACAUGUCCUCCUGCCGUGUGGAUAAACCCUCAGAGAUAGUAGAUGUUGGAGACAAAGUAUGGGUGAAGCUUAUUGGAAAAGAGAUGAAAGAUGACAAACUGAAGCUUUCCCUCUCCAUGAAGGUUGUUAACCAAGGCACAGGAAAAGACCUUGAUCCAAACAAUGUUUCCCUUGAUCAGGAUGAGAGGAAAAAACGCACGUUCAGAGACUACACGAGUCAGAAGAUCACGCUUGAAGCUGUCUUGAACACUGUGUGCAAGAAAUGCGGUUGCAAAGGUCAUUUUGCCAAGGAGUGUUUCAUGCAGCCUGGAGGUACCAAAUAUAGCCUCAUUCCAGAAGAGGAGGAAGAGGAGGUGGCAGCAGCAGGAUAUGAAAGAGAUAAAAAGACCAGCAUGGUUGAUGAGCCUCCAAAAAAAAGGAAAAAGGCUCUUAUUCAAGAAUGUCUUGUACUUGUCUGCAGAGCAUCAUUACGCUGCGAUAGAAAAUACACCUGGUCUUCUUUCUACUCUGAUCUUGGAAGCACACGAUUGAACAGAGUUGUCUCUCAGAUCCCAGGCUAACUGCGACUCUGACCUUUCUGGAGUCCAGAUGUUGGGCUUCCCUCUUGCCAUGGAGCAGUGUGUGAGCAGGCUGUUGGAGAAGAAGAAGAAAAAGAAGCACAAGAAUAAGCAGUCCUCCGAGUCAGACUCAGACAGCUCGGACUCGUACAGCGAUGGGGCUCAGCCAGCCAGCAAGAGGACCAAGCAUUCGGGGAAGCCCAGCAAGGCUCAGAAGAAGAAGAAGAAAAAGAAGCAUAAGAAGAAGCCCCGGGAUUGAGCAGGCAGGCAGGCAGGGGUACUGGCAUUGUGAGUCCCUGGUGCACACCAUGAGGAGCGAGCAGAACUGAAUCAGUGCACCCCUUGCUCCAGGGACAAGGAGUUUCCUUCUCCUAAAAGUAACGCUCGGCGUGCGGUGUUACAGGUGUUGACUUUGAUACAAGUUGUCCUCUGUUACUUUAGGCGCAAGCUGCCGUUUUCUCCCACCAGUAGGCAUUCCUGCCAAAAUAGGCUAAUUGCACCCCUUAGUCGGCACCUCUCCCAUCCUGUAGCCUCAUCGUUUCGCUGGGUAAGCUGCCAGUGCUCGGCCGCUCCCCUGGACAGUGCGGCCAGCUGCACCGAGCCUGCAUGACAUCAGCCCCCAUCCAGUUGCCUGUAAAAGGUGGAGCCGCGCAGCUGUGCUUUCCCUGCCUGUCCCGGCACUGUGCUCGGGGACAGAGGUGGUUGUUGCUGGGACCUGUGAUGGUACCUCCCAGCUGGUAACAGUGUGGAGCUGCUUGGCUUUGGUCUGCAAACCUUCCCCCAGCCUCACUCAUUUCAUCUGCAAACAUUGGGAGUGAAAGAGUAAGAAGCAAAUGGGAGAGUGGAGGUAUUUUAAGUAAACAUUAACUGUGGUGUGUUUGCCGCCUUGCAAAGUGAUGAAAAAUAAAUCUCUCCAAUCUCCA
Molecule: RNA transcript, 1919 nt
Organism: Aquila chrysaetos chrysaetos
Lineage: Eukaryota; Metazoa; Chordata; Aves; Accipitriformes; Accipitridae
Gene: ZCCHC17
Gene name: zinc finger CCHC-type containing 17
Exons: 8
Source: RefSeq, a predicted model, not a curated record